CAAGUUUUUAAGGGCGCACGGUGGAUGCCUUGGCACCAGGAACCGAUGAAGGACGUGGGAGGCCACGAUAGGCCCCGGGGAGCUGUCAACCGAGCUUUGAUCCGGGGGUGUCCGAAUGGGGAAACCCGGCAGUCGUCAUGGGCUGUCACCCAUACCUGAACACAUAGGGUAUGUGGAGGGAACGCGGGGAAGUGAAACAUCUCAGUACCCGCAGGAAGAGAAAACAACCGUGAUUCCGGGAGUAGUGGCGAGCGAAACUGGAUGAGGCCAAACCGUAUUGGUGUGAUACCCGGCAGGGGUUGCCAGUGCGGGGUUGUGGGAUCUCUUUUCUGCAGUCUGCCGGCUGUGGGACGAGUCAGAAACCGUUGAUGUAGGCGAAGGACAUGCGAAAGGUCCGGCGUAGAGGGUAAGACCCCCGUAGCUGAAACGUCAGCGGCUCGUUUAAGAGACACCCAAGUAGCACGGGGCCCGUGAAAUCCCGUGUGAAUCUGGCGGGACCACCCGCUAAGCCUAAAUAUUCCCUGGUGACCGAUAGCGGAUAGUACCGUGAGGGAAUGGUGAAAAGUACCGCGGGAGCGGAGUGAAAUAGUACCUGAAACCGUGUGCCUACAAGCCGUGGGAGCGUCGCGCAAGAACUUGUUCUUGCGUCGUGACUGCGUGCCUUUUGAAGAAUGAGCCUGCGAGUUUGCGGUAUGUUGCGAGGUUAACCCGUGUGGGGAAGCCGUAGCGAAAGCGAGUCCGAAGAGGGCGCCCAAGUAGCGUGCCCAAGACCCGAAGCGGAGUGAUCUAGCCAUGGGCAGGUUGAAGCGGAGGUAAGACUUCGUGGAGGACCGAACCCACCAGGGUUGAAAACCUGGGGGAUGACCUGUGGUUAGGGGUGAAAGGCCAAUCAAACUCCGUGAUAGCUGGUUCUCCCCGAAAUGCAUUUAGGUGCAGCGUCGUGUGUUUCUUGCCGGAGGUAGAGCACUGGAUAGGCGAUGGGCCCUACCGGGUUACUGACCUUAGCCAAACUCCGAAUGCCGGUAAGUGAGAGCGCGGCAGUGAGACUGUGGGGGAUAAGCUCCAUGGUCGAGAGGGAAACAGCCCAGAGCAUCGACUAAGGCCCCUAAGCGUGUGCUAAGUGGGAAAGGAUGUGGAGUCGCAGAGACAACCAGGAGGUUGGCUUAGAAGCAGCCAUCCUUGAAAGAGUGCGUAAUAGCUCACUGGUCAAGUGAUUCCGCGCCGACAAUGUAGCGGGGCUCAAGCACACCGCCGAAGUCGUGUCAUUGCAGUAUGUACUCCUAACGGGGACUGUGAUGGGUAGGGGAGCGUCGUGUGCCGGGUGAAGCAGCACCGGAAGGUAGUUGUGGACGGUUCACGAGUGAGAAUGCAGGCAUGAGUAGCGAUACACACGUGGGAAACGUGUGCGCCGAUUGACUAAGGGUUCCUGGGUCAAGCUGAUCUGCCCAGGGUAAGUCGGGACCUAAGGCGAGGCCGACAGGCGUAGUCGAUGGACAACCGGUUGAUAUUCCGGUACCCGCUUUGAAGCGCCAAACAUCGAAUCAGGCGAUGCUAAGUCCGUGAAGCCGCCCUGAGCUCUUCGGAGCGUAGGGGAGUGGUGGAGCCGACGAACCAGACUUGUAGUAGGUGAGUGAUGGGGUGACGCAGGAAGGUAGUCCAGCCCGGGCGGUGGUUGUCCCGGGGUAAGGGUGUAGGACGCACGGUAGGCAAAUCCGUCGUGCAUGAAGUCUGAGACCUGAUGCCGAGCCGAUUGUGGUGAAGUGGAUGAUCCUAUGCUGUCGAGAAAAGCCUCUAGCGAGUUUCAUGGCGGCCCGUACCCUAAACCGACUCAGGUGGUCAGGUAGAGAAUACCGAGGCGUUCGGGUGAACUAUGGUUAAGGAACUCGGCAAAAUGCCCCCGUAACUUCGGGAGAAGGGGGGCCAUUGCUGGUGAUGAGUCUUGCACUCUGAGCUGGUGGUGGCCGCAGAGACCAGCGAGAAGCGACUGUUUACUAAAAACACAGGUCCGUGCGAAGCCGUAAGGCGAUGUAUACGGACUGACGCCUGCCCGGUGCUGGAACGUUAAGGGGACCGGUUAGCUCUGUUUCGACAGGGCGAAGCUGAGAACUUAAGCGCCAGUAAACGGCGGUGGUAACUAUAACCAUCCUAAGGUAGCGAAAUUCCUUGUCGGGUAAGUUCCGACCUGCACGAAUGGCGUAACGACUUCUCGACUGUCUCAACCAUAGGCCCGGUGAAAUUGCACUACGAGUAAAGAUGCUCGUUUCGCGCAGCAGGACGGAAAGACCCCGGGACCUUUACUAUAGCUUGAUAUUGGUGUUCGGUUCGGCUUGUGUAGGAUAGGUGGGAGACUGUGAACUCGUCACGCCAGUGGCGGGGGAGUCGUUGUUGAAAUACCACUCUGGUCGUGCUGGAUGUCUAACCUGGGUCCGUGAUCCGGAUCAGGGACAGUGUCUGGUGGGUAGUUUAACUGGGGCGGUUGCCUCCUAAAGAGUAACGGAGGCGCCCAAAGGUUCCCUCAGCCUGGUUGGCAAUCAGGUGUUGAGUGUAAGUGCACAAGGGAGCUUGACUGUGAGACUGACGGGUCGAGCAGGUACGAAAGUAGGGACUAGUGAUCCGGCGGUGGCUUGUGGAAGCGCCGUCGCUCAACGGAUAAAAGGUACCCCGGGGAUAACAGGCUGAUCUUCCCCAAGAGUCCAUAUCGACGGGAUGGUUUGGCACCUCGAUGUCGGCUCGUCGCAUCCUGGGGCUGGAGUCGGUCCCAAGGGUUGGGCUGUUCGCCCAUUAAAGCGGUACGCGAGCUGGGUUUAGAACGUCGUGAGACAGUUCGGUCCCUAUCCGCUGUGCGCGUAGGAGUCUUGAGAAGGGCUGUCCCUAGUACGAGAGGACCGGGACGGACGAACCUCUGGUGUGCCAGUUGUCCUGCCAAGGGCAUGGCUGGUUGGCUACGUUCGGAAAGGAUAACCGCUGAAAGCAUCUAAGCGGGAAGCCUGCUUCGAGAUGAGGGCUCCCUCCUCCUUGAGAGGGUAAGGCUCCCAGUAGACGACUGGGUUGAUAGGCCAGAUAUGGAAGCCCGGUAACGGGUGGAGUUGACUGGUACUAAUAGGCCGAGGGCUUGUCC
This 3118-nucleotide ribosomal RNA is filed under the name Streptomyces paromomycinus. Its description in RNAcentral is "23S ribosomal RNA". It matches the Rfam family "Bacterial large subunit ribosomal RNA". Lineage: Bacteria; Bacillati; Actinomycetota; Actinomycetes; Kitasatosporales; Streptomycetaceae. The record is from RNAcentral.